UUAAAACAUAAAACAUGUCAGACCUCUGGUAAAAUUAUUAUACACUUUCGGUGAGAUAACUAAUAGGAGAAAUUUGACAUCAAGAACUGAAUGUAAUAAUUAAACAACCACAACUUGCAUUUAAAAGCCUUAUAACAGGAAGUUGUUUACAACAAUAGAAUGAAUUAUUUGUUUUGAGCCACUGUAUUCCAACAGGGGGGUGGAUAGAUCACGGCACGGUUAUUUGUAAUGAACAGGAAGUGGUGGUGUGCAAACGAAAUGCACGAAAGAAAGCGAGAGUGCGUCGCAUGGAAAUCGCAUGAACGAGAUACUCCACAGCAGUCAAAGAUGUUUGGAGCUGCAAAAAGAUGCGCAGUCCUCUUCUACCUGUUUCCAUGUCUGGCAAACGGCGUCAAGUUUGACGAGCAGGUUCCUGUCCGCACCGCGCCCCCAGGCGAGCGAGUGGAGAUUGCAUGCAGCCACGACGACAGCAGCCUCCUCGUCAUGUCCUGGUACGAGCAGCGGGAGCGAAGCAGAGCCCUCCGCCUGAUCGGAUCUGGCUACAGCACAGCAGAGCCCACCUACGAGGACCCGUUCGCGGCGCGGUUCCAGCUGAGGAGAGAGUCGGUCCAGAAGGGUUCCCUGCUCAUCUCCAAUGUGACGAUGGCAGACUCCGCUGAGUACUUCUGUGCAGCCAGUCAAGCACGGGGUGUCCUCCAGCCCGGUGGUGCUGCAGACUGAGGCUCACCUGACCCCCUCGCCCGGAGACACGGUCACCCUGAGCUGCAGCAUGGCUGCCGGGCUCUCCAUGAGCAGCUACACCAUGUACUGGUACAGGCAAGCCCGGGCCGGGGCGCCCAUCGAGUUCCUAAAAAAGGAGUACGACACCU
Non-coding RNA from Anguilla rostrata (American eel), 869 nucleotides. The record is from the annotation of a RefSeq genome assembly. NCBI's taxonomy places the organism in Eukaryota, Metazoa, Chordata, Actinopteri, Anguilliformes, Anguillidae.